CCCAAUCUUUUGAAGCUAAAACCCUAGAUGUGGUCAACAUUGGUCCAGUUUUUCGAAGCCACUACGGUGAUUUUCCGCCUAAUUCUCUUUUUUCGACAUUGGGGUAUGAAUUGAGGGGGUUGAAUUCGAUGGUGGAGGAUGGAAAAGGUGAGAUUGAGAGCUUGGAGGGUAUGAGUAGGGUUUCCAAUGAAUAGAGGGAGCUUGAUUUAUGUGCUGAUGAGUUCGAUGUGGGGCGGUUGAAUCGGUUGCUGGGGCUAAUUAUUUUUUGGGAUAGUUGAAAUCCUUGCAGCUUGUUCCAAGCCUAACAGCAGAACGAGAUGAUGAAAUUUGGAAGGCUGCUUUAAAUACUAGCAACAGGUUAGAAGAUCCUUGGGGAAUUUUGGGGCUUUAUUGGCAUCAAACUAGAAAGGAAGAGAGACUUAUUUCAAGAUUUGGCUCCACUUUUGUCUAACUCUUUUGGUACUAUCAUUGCACUCUUGCAGAUGACAACACACCACACAAUGACAGGAGAAUCCAUGCCGAUGCCCCCACAAUAUCUUGAUCCUCUUGGUUUCUCUUUGUAGCAGAUAGGCAAGUUGACACUUUAUUUUGUCGAAAAAAAUUUGCUCAGGAAAAGUUACUUUUAACUGUGAAGAUAAUUUCUUUUAGCAAUCCCCUCGAAGCUAAUUAAAGAGACAUAAUAAUUUUCUUCUUCAAGGUGCAAGGAAAUUUACUUGUAUAAAUGAAUGGAGUAAUGUUGUUAAUUAUGGCUUCAUUUUUGUAGGCUUCUUCAGAGAUUAUGGAGUAGAUGGUUCUUGGGGGUGUUUGGUAAAACUUUUUUUUCAACUUAAAUAAGCUUUUGGCUUAAAUUAAGCUAUAUUAGUGUGUUUGGUAAAACUUAUAAGGCACAGAUUAUGGCUUAAUUUAAGCCAUUUUCGGCUUAAAUGUAAACGUUGCUCCA
Non-coding RNA from Camellia sinensis, 940 nucleotides. The record is from RefSeq and is a predicted model, not a curated record. NCBI's taxonomy places the organism in Eukaryota, Viridiplantae, Streptophyta, Magnoliopsida, Ericales, Theaceae.